GGGGGCGACUGGCUUCGACGGGGAUGAAGAUGCCAGGGUUGCAUGCUGAGGUCCCGUUGGCUCAUAAAACAAACGGGAAAAUUUAACUGCCAACGAAGAAUUGGCACUCGCUGCCUAAUUAAGGCAACGGCGCUCUUCCUGGGAUUGUCUGUGUCGCAGGAAAGGGUGUAAUAAAA
RNAcentral lists this transfer-messenger RNA (176 nucleotides) under Nitrospirae bacterium RIFCSPLOWO2_02_42_7. RNAcentral describes it as "partial transfer-messenger RNA". It matches the Rfam family "transfer-messenger RNA", at positions 1 to 195 of the family's 374-position model. Rfam says of the family: Bacterial tmRNA, also known as 10Sa RNA or SsrA, is named for its dual tRNA and mRNA-like properties. Lineage: Bacteria; Pseudomonadati; Nitrospirota. The record is from RNAcentral.